Acanthochromis polyacanthus (spiny chromis) is the source of this 755-nucleotide long non-coding RNA. RefSeq lists it as uncharacterized. The record is from RefSeq and is a predicted model, not a curated record. The transcript is spliced from 4 exons. Lineage: Eukaryota; Metazoa; Chordata; Actinopteri; Pomacentridae.
AAAAAAAAAGAGGGGGGAGUCCUCGUCUCACACACAGGAAAUCAGACCGGCAGAAUGAAUCGAAUCAAAGCUCUGCCUCCUCACAGAAGAUGAGGACAAUGGCGUAGAAAGAGGCGUCACCGGCUCGGGCCAAACUCCAUCAUCGUCUGCUCUGAGUCUGUUCAGACCAGAGGAACAGGACGGCUGCAGGAACGAAGGAGACGCUCGGGGAUUUUAAGGAGGAACGUUACGACCUCCAGGAGGAACGGAUCGCCGCACAAGGCUACAUCCAUCCAUGGAGGUCUGACCGGACACAUCCGGGCUGAGGUGGCCGAGCUGCUGCCUGACUCGGCCCGCCUGACACAGAGCGAGGAGGCCCGUGGAAAGAAAGAUGUGUACAGGAUGACGGCAGCGUAGCCUCGGUCACGGGUGAAAUCAGCUACAGUCCGACACAGAGCCUUGGCGAUGCCCAUCCCGCGGUAACUGCGACGCACCGACAUGCGCUUCAGCUCCAAGCAACCCGCCACCGUCUCAUUGGGGACGCAACACACCGUGCCGACCACACGACCGUCGCUCUCCGCCACCCAGAAACACGAGUCCUUCUGCUUCAGGUUGAUGUCACUCACAAACAUGGUGAUGAGCAGGAUGAUGAUGAAGCCGGUGAGCAACCCGGCGUUCUGGAUCAGGAAGAAGACGAUCUUGGAGAACGUGUGCAUCUAUUCCCGCACAAUGUUGAUGUUCAGAGGAAAACAGCAGUAAAUAAUUCCCCUAAUGUG